CCGAUACCCCGGUGUCCGGGCCUGUCCCCUCGACAGGCCCGGACACCGGGGUAUCGG
This 57-nucleotide small RNA is filed under the name Streptomyces sp. IB2014 011-1. RNAcentral describes it as "F6". The record is from RNAcentral. Lineage: Bacteria; Bacillati; Actinomycetota; Actinomycetes; Kitasatosporales; Streptomycetaceae.